Molecule: ribosomal RNA, 616 nt
Filed under: uncultured cyanobacterium
Lineage: Bacteria; Bacillati; Cyanobacteriota
Description: bacterial SSU rRNA
Rfam family: Bacterial small subunit ribosomal RNA
Source: RNAcentral
GAAUCUGCCUUCUGGUCGGGGACAACCACUGGAAACGGUGGCUAAUACCGGAUGAGCCGAAGGGUAAAAGAUUAAUUGCCAGAAGAGGAGCUCGCGUCUGAUUAGCUAGUUGGUGGGGUAAAAGCCUACCAAGGCAUCGAUCAGUAGCUGGUCUGAGAGGACGAUCAGCCACACUGGGACUGAGACACGGCCCAGACUCCUACGGGAGGCAGCAGUGGGGAAUUUUCCGCAAUGGGCGAAAGCCUGACGGAGCAAGACCGUGUGAGGGAGGAAGGCCCUUGGGUCGUAAACCUCUUUUGUCAGGGAAGAACACAAUGACGGUACCUGACGAAUCAGCCUCGGCUAACUCCGUGCCAGCAGCCGCGGUAAUACGGAGGAGGCAAGCGUUAUCCGGAAUUAUUGGGCGUAAAGCGUCCGCAGGUGGCUUAUCAAGUCUGCUGUCAAAGACCGGGGCUUAACUUCGGAAAGGCAGUGGAAACUGAACAGCUAGAGUAUGGUAGGGGCAGAGGGAAUUCCUGGUGUAGCGGUGAAAUGCGUAAAGAUCAGGAAGAACAUCGGUGGCGAAGGCGCUCUGCUGGACCAUAGCUGACACUCAAGGACCAAAGCUAAGGGAACG